Molecule: unclassified non-coding RNA, 141 nt
Filed under: uncultured Byssoascus
Lineage: Eukaryota; Fungi; Ascomycota; Leotiomycetes; Myxotrichaceae
Description: sequence contains ITS2
Source: RNAcentral
CAACCCUCAAGCUCUGCUUGGUGUUGGGUCCCGCCCGCUGCGGCCGGCCCUAAACCCAGUGGCGGUGCCGUCUGGCCCUAAGCGUAGUACUCGUCUCGCUCCAGGGUCCUGCGGUGGCCUGCCAGAACCCACACUCUUUAU